This 374-nucleotide long non-coding RNA is filed under the name Hordeum vulgare. RNAcentral describes it as "long non-coding RNA (HVUL_LNC014268)". Lineage: Eukaryota; Viridiplantae; Streptophyta; Magnoliopsida; Poales; Poaceae. The record is from RNAcentral.
UUCCUCGCCCCACUUUAUUCAAUCUGCUGAGCUGCAUCUCCCCAGGAUGGAUCAACUAUCGCCGCAAAGAAUCAUCAGGCGCGCCGACACGGUUUUCAGCUCCAACUUCACCGUCAUCAUCAUCAUAUAAUAACAAUCCGAGUUCUGAGGUCUUAAAGGAGUAGGUUAUUAGUUCUGCGGUGAUUCGGCAUGGACAAAAUCUCCAUCAUGGCAUGUGUAUGGUGAGUUGCGUUCAUGGUGGUGUGGCAGGGAAUAAAGACGUUGGCAGCCACCUGCAAAUACCAAACCUCUGUCGCUCCUCCUCAAUAAAUUAUUUCCUAUACGCUACCCUUUUUACCUUCUUAGGAUGGCCAUGGACUGGGGCGAGCACGUAG